Lycium barbarum (goji berry) is the source of this 1026-nucleotide long non-coding RNA. RefSeq lists it as uncharacterized. The transcript is spliced from 2 exons. Lineage: Eukaryota; Viridiplantae; Streptophyta; Magnoliopsida; Solanales; Solanaceae. The record is from RefSeq and is a predicted model, not a curated record.
GGCCAAUUAAUUUAAAAAAUACUUUUGAGCAGCAAUUAACAUUUGGCCAAACUUUUAAAAAGUGAUUUUAAGUGUAUUUUUCUCAAAAGUUCUUUUAAAAAAAGUGCUUAUGGAGAAAAACUACUUUUUAGCUUCUGAAAAUUGAUUUUGCUACUCCCGAAAAGUACUUAUUUUCUCUCAAAAGUUUAAUCAAACACCUCACUUUUUUUUUUUCAAAAUAAACACUUUUUGAAAAAAAAUUAACUACUUUUGAAGAAAAAAAAAGCAUAACCAAACGGGCUAUAAGUUUUCAUGAAACCAACAAGUAAUGCCCAUGAAGUUAAGUAAUACCCCGGAAGUACAUGGAGCUACCAUUCUCUAUCAAGUCCUUUCUGAACUGUAAUAACUCAAUUUUUUUAAAUAAGGGUUUGUUUGGUAAAUUUUGCUAAAAGAAAUUAAAAAAAAAAAAUAGAAAAGAAUGAACUUAGUGGGCCAAGCCCAAAAACGACAAGAAAAAAAGAAAAGAAAAAGAUUUUAAAAGCGGCUAAGCCAUCAGACGUGAAACACUAGAAUCUGAAAGGAACCAAAAAGAAAAAAAAGGACGACCAAACAGAGGGAGAAAAACCAAUAGAAAAAAGGAAAAUAACGGGGGAGAAAGAAAGGAAAAAAGGGGAUAAAAAUAAGAAUUUUCAUCCCAAAUCAUCAAGAUGCUAUGGGUGACUACGAAGCUAGUAGCUGACGAGUUUGCUAGAGUUGAUCUAUUGGUUGAGGUGAGCCGCCGCUUUGUUCGUGGAGGCUGCCAAAAGUGUCUUUAUCAUUUAUUUAUUAAUGUCUUUUCUUUUGGGGUUUUCAAACCCGAGUGUUUUGUAAUUCUCUUAAAUGCUCCAUGGUCUAGUGUGGGAUUUGGACAAGAGUAGUUGAUUAAUAUUCUGAGAUACUAGUUAUCCGUAAUUAAUUAUCAUGUUAUUCGGGUACUUCUUUAAAUUAUUAAAUGCUGGGAAAUUGUGGUUAAGAUAUGAAAAUUUGAUUCGCCUGGCUGGUGGUGUA